UGGAUAAACCCUAACCAGAUCUUCGUCGUGCCCAGGCCGGAUGGCUGGCUCCUCCUCCGGCAGCAGCGCCACCCCCAGCCCCCUCACAAGCCUUCUUUUUCUUCUUUGGUCGCCCCGGCGCGGCCUCCACCGCUCGGCUUCAACAUUGACGAGCUUCCGUCGCCGUUCAUGGAGAAUGGUGUUGUUUCAGUUCGUAUCUCGGAGGCUCCUUUCCUCCGUGGUCUGGAACGCUGCAAGACAAACCUUGUGGGCAAGGUUGUGCUCCCUCCCAGAGCCACGCCACUCAAGAUGCGCGAAUCUGGCGCUGCAAUUGAAGCCGCGUUGGCCUGCCUUGCAGGGUUGGUCAGGUUCGUCAUUGGUUUAUUUUUCGAUCAGGUACGCCACUUAAAAUGGAUUUAUCUAAGACCUGGACCUUUUCUAGAUUCUUUUUAUCAAUCAGGUACGCCCGUUGAACCUUCAUCUUCUACUUCUUACGUUUGAUGUCUUCAAGUACAAAUCAAUCUUUUAGUUAAUUGCUUGAUAUCUUCACUGUCUAUUUUUCAUUGCUACUUGGAUUAUUUAUAUCUUAUUGGCUUAUCCUUGAAUAAGUUUUUUGGUGAGCUUCACACUGUAUGUGAAAACUUUUGCACCGUGAAGCUUUCAGCUUCGAAUAAAAGUAUGAAUUGUUCGAUCUUUAUCAUGUUUAUGGAUAGAAUGCAGGGAUCUGUUUCUAACAAUGUUGUAUUAACCUAUCCUCAGGAUUCUCUUCGGCUUAACCUAUGGAAUACCUUGAGAAGGUUGGAACCUCAAAACAAUGAACCCUGUUCAUGAAAGUUCUUCAGUGGGAAUUAAAUGCCAUUGAGAAGGACAAGGAUGCAUUUAUUGAGGACUUUUCUAAGGUGGACUACAAUGACAUGGUGGAUGGAAGGCAAAGCUGGUUAGGACUAACUCUAGAGAGUAGAAGUGGGGCCUCUUCCUCGCCAAGAAUAAACGAUUAUGACACCUUAAGUUUUGCAUAUGCAAAUGCAAUAUUGUACUUGAGUUAGAUAUGCAUUUCAGAUAAACAUUGUAUUCAGUUGCUGGUGUGUUGUGUUUUAGAUAGUCUUAUCUUAAACUAUGUCGUUGUCUUAUUAGUGUUUGAACUUUGCAUUC
This is a long non-coding RNA of Rosa rugosa (rugosa rose), 1131 nucleotides long. RefSeq lists it as uncharacterized. The transcript has 3 exons. The record is from RefSeq and is a predicted model, not a curated record. Lineage: Eukaryota; Viridiplantae; Streptophyta; Magnoliopsida; Rosales; Rosaceae.